UUUGUUUUAAAUGUGUUUAAUUCCAAUUGAAAGUUAUCCAAAACCUACUACUUCUACUGAGUGUUUACAUCCUUGUGUAUGAUUGGAAGUGAAACAUAUCAAAUGGUUCAUGUUUAAUGUAUUGAGUAAUCUUGUAAGCGAAGCAAGCUGUCAAGCCCAAACAUCCAUGGAUUGCCCUGUUAGCAACCUAUGAUCUUAGCAUUCCAUCAUGCUAUCGUAUUGCUCAUUGAGAGAUUUAGCUCGUGAAAUUUACAACGCAAAGGAUGUUGACACUGGGGGAUGGCCACCAGCGGAGUGAAUCCUUUACAUCAAACACCACUGUAUCAUCUUACCAUCUAGCCCAGUCAUCAUCUUGAGUCAGUUUCCAUCUGAUGAAUGCAGCAUAUCCCCAUGUUUUGUUGCCAAUGAUGAACCACCACCAGCCAUCAUACUGAGAUUGACAUCAAAACCAAUCCCUUUUGGACUGCCAAGCCUUUACUUUCUUGAGCGAAAUUGCUGGCUUUACAAUUUUUGUAGUCCUCCGACAACAGCCAACUGCCACGGCAAGCUGUUUUCAAGUUUUACUCCGUCUUCGUUUCGCCCGUCGCCGCGUCUUCGCCUUGCCCGUCUUCGCCUCGCCCGUCGCCGCGUCUUCGCCUCGCCCGUCGCCGCGUCUUCGCCUCGCCCGUCGCCCCGUCUUCGCCUCGCCCGUCGCCCCGUAUUCG
Daphnia carinata is the source of this 704-nucleotide long non-coding RNA. RefSeq lists it as uncharacterized. The transcript has 4 exons. NCBI's taxonomy places the organism in Eukaryota, Metazoa, Arthropoda, Branchiopoda, Diplostraca, Daphniidae. The record is from RefSeq and is a predicted model, not a curated record.